GCACAAGCGGUGGAUGAUGUGGUUUAAUUCGAUGCAACGCGAAAACCUUACCACCUUGACAUGGCAGGAAUCCUAAGAGAUUGGAGUGCUCGAAAGAGAACCUGCACACAGGUGCUGCAUGGCUGUCGUCAGCUCGUGUCGUGAGAUGUUGGGUUAAGUCCCGCAACGAGCGCAACCCUUGCCAUUAGUUGCUACGAAAGGGCACUCUAAUGGGACUGCCGGUGACAAACCGGAGGAAGGUGGGGAUGACGUCAAGUCCUCAUGGCCCUUAUAGGUGGGGCUACACACGUCAUACAAUGGCCGGUACAGAGGGUAGCCAACCCGCGAGGGGGAGCCAAUCCCACAAAGCCGGUCGUAGUCCGGAUCGCAGUCUGCAACUCGACUGCGUGAAGUCGGAAUCGCUAGUAAUCGCGGAUCAGCAUGUCGCGGUGAAUACGUUCCCGGGUCUU
Molecule: ribosomal RNA, 449 nt
Filed under: uncultured Allobrachymonas sp.
Lineage: Bacteria; Pseudomonadati; Pseudomonadota; Betaproteobacteria; Burkholderiales; Comamonadaceae
Description: bacterial SSU rRNA
Rfam family: Bacterial small subunit ribosomal RNA
Source: RNAcentral